Alexandromys fortis (reed vole) is the source of this 1704-nucleotide long non-coding RNA. RefSeq lists it as uncharacterized. The transcript is spliced from 4 exons. The record is from RefSeq and is a predicted model, not a curated record. NCBI's taxonomy places the organism in Eukaryota, Metazoa, Chordata, Mammalia, Rodentia, Cricetidae.
UCUGCAUCACCCCCAUGCCUGCAUCAUGCCCACAUCUGCAUCACCCCCAUGCCUGCAUCAUGCCCACAUCUGCAUCACCCCCAUGCCUGCAUCAUGUCCACAUCUGCACCGUGCUCACGCCUGGCCUGCCCAUUCCGCCCCAGGGACUGAUGCUUUCGAUUUUUAUCAGUGGCUUUUGUUUUGCUGGUUUGUUUUAUCUGUUUGGUGAUUGAUGGAUAGCUGAAGAGACGGCUCCACUGAGCGUCACCUGACACCACAAUGCAUCAAGUCUGGCAAGCUCCUCUUCUGGGCUGUCUUCCUUACCAGCUGCAAUUGGUCUAAGGCAGCAGAUCAGCUUCCCAACUGGCUCAGGUUCCAGCAGUCAUUACAAUGGGCACUCGGACCCUCACCUAUGGAAAGGUGCCAUUGCACAAAUGGCCUUUCUGCAGCACACCUGUUAAAGUGCUACCUACUUAGUACACUUCACUGCUCUACUUGUUGGGAAAUUCUGACGGCAUUGCAGAGGGUCCAGAGGAGAAUGAAGGCACCAACCAAUCUCUGCAUCCCUUCCUGCCUGGGGUCACACGUGACCGACUGUGUCACACUCCCACUGCCCUGUCCUCCCCACUGUGAUGGACUAUGCACCGGUGAGCCAUGAGCCACAACAAACCCACUGUUUAAGUGCCUUUGUCACGUCAAUGCAGCAGAGACUGCGGUGGGUGGUCUGAGCUCCAUGGUGUGUACCUAUCAUGUCCACCGGGCGAGGCAGGGCUGGCAGUGACAGGAGAAGGGAACACAGGACCUAAAAGGAUAGGGGUGAUGGAAGAUGAAAAAAAAAACCACUUCAAGGGAACCAAAGACAAACUAAAAGGUGAUUUCUGUGAAGAUCUGAGAAAACAGCUAAAGAUUUUCGAGGAAAAAAACUAGAGAAUGUAAGCCCCUUCUUAGGGAACUUGGCUGUGAAAAGAAGAACGUCCAAGUCAGGUGGGCACAUGCCACAGUCUCUCUGUGAUGUGGUCCCAGCGGGCGCUUGUCCCAGCCUCCACUGUAUGCCUCAGGGUCCAGCCUCAGGCCUUGGAUUUGCCUUGCUUGCCCCCCUCGUUCUUACUCUUCUUCCUGCCUACAGAGGCUGCCUGUUUGCUGCUGGUGUUUGAACAUAUUCUUGGGUAUCCACACACCCACCUAUCUCAUUUCUGCUUGAAUGAUGAAUCUCAAACCACUGAUCUUACUCCAAACCUGCCUCUCCCUCUGCCACCCACCCUACCUCACUGAAUGGGUAUCGCAGUCUUCGAGUGACUCACCCCCAUUUCAGUGUGUCAUCUUAGGUCUUCUCUUCAUGACAUACCUACAUUUGAGCACCUUUUAACACAUGUGUCCAGGUUUCUCUACCUUCAUCCCAGCCACCUUGGUGGAGGCUCCUAUCACAUCAUUGGUCCAGAUUCCUUCCGGAGGAGAACUUGACGCUAUCAUCUUCCCUCAUCCACACAAUGACUGCUCUCAGCACAUCUUCCUUCAGACACCCCCAUGGCCGACAUCCUAGGUGUUUGGAACUGACACACAAAUAUUAACCGCCAUAAAGAGAGUCUCUGGCUGCUUUCAGAACACAAGAAUCUUGCCCCGUCACUACAAAGCUCAGCACCAGAAGCUUGUUCUUUGUCCACAUGGGCAAGUGGAAACUUUAACCUUUAGUUGUGUUGAGACUCAACAAUGACAACAAUAGGAGAA